RNAcentral lists this ribosomal RNA (869 nucleotides) under Plesiomonas shigelloides. RNAcentral describes it as "partial 23S ribosomal RNA". It matches the Rfam family "Bacterial large subunit ribosomal RNA", at positions 341 to 1216 of the family's 2925-position model. The record is from RNAcentral. Lineage: Bacteria; Pseudomonadati; Pseudomonadota; Gammaproteobacteria; Enterobacterales; Enterobacteriaceae.
AUUGGAAAGUCCGGCGAUACAGGGUGAUAGCCCCGUACACGAAGACGCAUUGCUGUGAGCUCGAUGAGUAGGACGGGACACGUGGUAUCCUGUUUGAAGAUGGGGGGACCAUCCUCCAAGGCUAAAUACUCCUGACUGACCGAUAGCGAACCAGUACCGUGAGGGAAAGGCGAAAAGAACCCCUGUGAGGGGAGUGAAAUAGAACCUGAAACCGUGUACGUACAAGCAGUGGGAGCACCUUCGUGGUGUGACUGCGUACCUUUUGUAUAAUGGGUCAGCGACUUACAUUUUGUAGCGAGGUUAACCGAAUAGGGGAGCCGUAGGGAAACCGAGUCUUAAUAGGGCGAAUGAGUUGCAAGGUGUAGACCCGAAACCCGGUGAUCUAGCCAUGGGCAGGUUGAAGGUUGGGUAACACUAACUGGAGGACCGAACCGACUAAUGUUGAAAAAUUAGCGGAUGACUUGUGGCUGGGGGUGAAAGGCCAAUCAAACCGGGAGAUAGCUGGUUCUCCCCGAAAGCUAUUUAGGUAGCGCCUCGGACGAACACCUACGGGGGUAGAGCACUGUUAAGGCUAGGGGGUCAUCCCGACUUACCAACCCUUUGCAAACUCCGAAUACCGUAGAGUGCUAUCCGGGAGACACACGGCGGGUGCUAACGUCCGUCGUGAAGAGGGAAACAACCCAGACCGCCAGCUAAGGUCCCAAAGUCAUGGUUAAGUGGGAAACGAUGUGGGAAGGCUUAGACAGCUAGGAUGUUGGCUUAGAAGCAGCCAUCAUUUAAAGAAAGCGUAAUAGCUCACUAGUCGAGUCGGCCUGCGCGGAAGAUGUAACGGGGCUAAACCAUGCACCGAAGCUGCGGCAAUGACAUUU